Molecule: ribosomal RNA, 253 nt
Filed under: uncultured bacterium
Lineage: Bacteria
Description: partial 16S ribosomal RNA
Rfam family: Bacterial small subunit ribosomal RNA
Source: RNAcentral
UACGUAGGUGGCUAGCGUUGUCCGGAUUUACUGGGCGUAAAGCGCGCGCAGGCGGUCGUUCAAGUCGAGUGUGAAAGCCCCCGGCUCAACUGGGGAGGGUCACGCGAUACUGAUCGACUCGAAGGCAGGAGAGGGUAGUGGAAUUCCCGGUGUAGUGGUGAAAUGCGUAGAUAUCGGGAGGAACACCAGUGGCGAAGGCGACUACCUGGCCUGUUCUUGACGCUGAGGCGCGAAAGCUAGGGGAGCAAACGGG